This 396-nucleotide ribosomal RNA is filed under the name uncultured bacterium. Its description in RNAcentral is "partial 16S ribosomal RNA". It matches the Rfam family "Bacterial small subunit ribosomal RNA", at positions 360 to 773 of the family's 1533-position model. The record is from RNAcentral.
AAUAUUGCACAAUGGGCGGAAGCCUGAUGCAGCGACGCCGCGUGGGGGAUGACGGUCUUCGGAUUGUAAAAUUCUUUCACCGGGGACGAUAAUGACGGUACCCGGAGAAGAAGCCCCGGCUAACUUCGUGCCAGCAGCCGAGGUAAUACGAAGGGGGCUAGCUUUGUUCGGAUUUACUUGGCGUAAAGCGCACGUAGGCGGAUUGGUCAGUUAGAGGUGAAAUCCCGAAGCUCAACUUCGGAACUGCCUUUAAUACUGCCAGUCUCGAGUCCGGAAGAGGUAAGUGGAACUCCUAGUGUAGAGGUGGAAUUCGUAGAUAUUAGGAAGAACACCAGUGGCGAAGGCGGCUUACUGGUCCGGAACUGACGCUCAGACACGAAAGCGUGGGGAGCAAAC